This 431-nucleotide ribosomal RNA is filed under the name uncultured bacterium. RNAcentral's name for it is "partial 16S ribosomal RNA". It matches the Rfam family "Bacterial small subunit ribosomal RNA", at positions 338 to 795 of the family's 1533-position model. The record is from RNAcentral.
CCUACGGGAGGCAGCAGUGAGGAAUAUUGCGCAAUGGAGGCAACUCUGACGCAGCCAUGCCGCGUGCAGGAAGAAGGGCUACGCGUUGUAAACUGCUUUUAACCGGGAAGCGGUACCGGAGGAAUAAGCACCGGCUAACUUCGUGCCAGCAGCCGCGGUAAUACGAAGGGUGCAAGCGUUAUCCGGAUUCAUUGGGUUUAAAGGGUGCGUAGGUGGGGCGAUAAGUCAGUGGUGAAAUCCUGCGGCUUAACCGUAGAAUUGCCAUUGAUACUGUCGCUCUUGAGUACGCUUGACGUGGGCGGAAUGUGCCGUGUAGCGGUGAAAUGCUUAGAUAUGGCACAGAACACCGAUAGUGAAGACAGCUCACGAAGGGAACUGACACUGAGGCACGAAAGCGUGGGGAUCGAACAGGAUUAGAUACCCUUGUAGUC